Molecule: transfer RNA, 66 nt
Filed under: bovine gut metagenome
Rfam family: tRNA
About the family: Transfer RNA (tRNA) molecules are approximately 80 nucleotides in length. Their secondary structure includes four short double-helical elements and three loops (D, anti-codon, and T loops). Further hydrogen bonds mediate the characteristic L-shaped molecular structure. tRNAs have two regions of fundamental functional importance: the anti-codon, which is responsible for specific mRNA codon recognition, and the 3' end, to which the tRNAs corresponding amino acid is attached (by aminoacyl-tRNA synthetases). tRNAs cope with the degeneracy of the genetic code in two manners: having more than one tRNA (with a specific anti-codon) for a particular amino acid; and 'wobble' base-pairing, i.e. permitting non-standard base-pairing at the 3rd anti-codon position.
Source: RNAcentral
GUGCUGUAGCUCAGUUGGUAGAGCAACGGACUGAAAAUCCGUGUGUCACUGGUUCAAUUCCCGUCA